GCAUGUUCAAAGGGCAGUGAUCAGAGUUUGGUCUAGUUUCUCACUCGUCAUUCGCCUGCUACUUGGAUGUGAAGCCUAGAGGAAAAGGAAAACCUUCCUCUUAUGCAUAUUCUUACUGAAUUAUUUCCGUAAGGUUGAUCAUCCUUCAGUUCUCUUUCCGAUCCACAAAAGUCGCAGCAGAUAUGUUUUGGGGUUUGCACGAUGCAGAAGAGUGGCAGGGGUAUACCUAUGUCUCCUCACAGUUUUCAGUGCAGCACAGUUGUGGAUGCUCCAGCAACUAGUUGUACAAAUAAUGAUCUAAGCUUCCAAAAAGCAUCUGAACCUGAUUUUUAUUGUGUGUUUAUUGAGAGUGUGAGAAAGAUACUAUCCAUAUGUAACCAGUGACAAAACGACUAUUUUAUUGCUCCUCUUUAUAGUUCACUACCUUCCAUUAAUGCACCAUGCCAAUGUAUCUGUUUGGUUUAAGAUUCAGUACAAUGUAGUCAGUAUUGGAUGAGUAUGGUUGUUAAAAUGCCAACAAUGUUGUAUUGGAUGAUUAGUAUGGUUGUUAAAUGCCAAGUUAUAUUUGGAUGAA
Long non-coding RNA from Carya illinoinensis, 574 nucleotides. RefSeq lists it as uncharacterized. The transcript is spliced from 2 exons. Lineage: Eukaryota; Viridiplantae; Streptophyta; Magnoliopsida; Fagales; Juglandaceae. The record is from RefSeq and is a predicted model, not a curated record.